UACUGUUUAAAAGAAUUCCCUCAUGAUUUUAAAACAACCUGCUUUUGCUUGGGUUUCUACUAACCUAACUGACCCUUGGGAAUCUCAUAACACCUACUAACUGUUACAUGAACUGGUAAAAAUCU
Molecule: long non-coding RNA, 125 nt
Organism: Pipistrellus kuhlii (Kuhl's pipistrelle)
Lineage: Eukaryota; Metazoa; Chordata; Mammalia; Chiroptera; Vespertilionidae
Exons: 3
Source: RefSeq, a predicted model, not a curated record